UAUCGUCUACGGGAGGCAGCAGUGGGGAAUAUUGCACAAUGGGGGAAACCCUGAUGCAGCGACGCCGCGUGAGUGAGGAAGUAUUUCGGUAUGUAAAGCUCUAUCAGCAGGGAAGAAAAUGACGGUACCUGACUAAGAAGCCCCGGCUAACUACGUGCCAGCAGCCGCGGUAAUACGUAGGUGGCAAGCGUUGUCCGGAUUUACUGGGUGUAAAGGGCGUGCAGCCGGAGAGACAAGUCAGAUGUGAAAUCCACGGGCUCAACCCGUGAACUGCAUUUGAAACUGUUUCCCUUGAGUGUCGGAGG
Molecule: ribosomal RNA, 305 nt
Filed under: uncultured bacterium
Lineage: Bacteria
Description: bacterial SSU rRNA
Rfam family: Bacterial small subunit ribosomal RNA
Source: RNAcentral